GCUCUUAUUUUCUCUCUCUAUAGAGCACUUCCUUUCCUGUCGAAAAACUCAAAUCUAAUUGCAGAGACACCAUUUCUAGGGUUUUCACUCCCAUUCGAUUUAAUUCCUUCCCCAUUUGCAAGAAAUUUGAGAGAACUUACUGUUUCUUUAUCUCUCUCAUGGUUGUCUUAAUGUUGAUAUUUAUAUGCUUCUAUUUACAGAAUCCUGACCUUCCAUUCUAAUGACUUUCAUAACCAGUGAAUGGCUCGAUUUCACUCUUUCACUCUCUUCCAUUUCGCCAUUUUUGUAACCUAUCUAAUUACGAACCGUAACCUUGUUCUUUCUACUAGUAAGGAGGAUUAUUUCUCGAUAAUUGAUUUCGAUUCCAAUCUAUUUCAUCAAGACUAUUCUCCUCCGUCUCCACCGCCUCCGCCGCCGCAUGCUCCGUCGGUAUCUUGCACCGACGAUCUCGGCGGCAUAGGUUCGUUGGACACUACGUGUCAGAUAAUAUCCGAUGUGAACCUCACCGAUGACGUGUAUAUACAAGGGAAGGGAAAUUUUUACAUCCAUCCCGGGGUGAGUUUUAAUUGUCCUUCUGCUGGUUGUUUUAUAACCGUUAACAUCACCGGAAAUUUCACUUUGUCAAUCAAUGCAUCGAUUGUGACCGGAGGUUUUGAGCUCGUGGCUUAUAAUGCGAGCUUUCUCAAUGGUUCGGCGGUGAACACGACGGGAAUGGCUGGGAAACCUCCAGCGCAGACGAGUGGGACCCCUCAGGGAACAGAAGGAGCGGGAGGGGGGCAUGGAGGGAGGGGUGCUUGUUGUUUAGUGGAUCAUGCGAAGCUGCCGGAGGAUGUUUGGGGAGGGGACGCGUACUCCUGGUCGUCCUUGCAGAAUCCCAGUAGUUAUGGAAGCAAGGGAGGAAGUACAAGUAAGGAGGUGGAUUAUGGUGGACUAGGGGGUGGAAUAUUGAAGUUUACAAUAAUUGAGUAUUUGCUAGUGGAUGGCUACAUAUUGGCGGAUGGAGGUUAUGGGGGUCAAAAAGGAGGCGGUGGCUCUGGUGGCAGCAUCCACUUAAAGGCCCAUAAAAUGAUUGGAAGUGGCAGAAUAAGUGCUUGUGGGGGAAGUGGUUUUGCUGGUGGUGGCGGUGGAAGAGUUGCAGUUGACAUUUUCAGUAGGCAUGAUGACCCUCAAAUUUUUGUGCAUGGAGGAAAUAGUCUUGGCUGUCCAGAAAAUGCAGGUGGUGCUGGGACUUUGUAUGAUGCUGUUCCCCGGAGCCUUAUUGUUAGCAAUCACAAUAUGUCAACAGAUACUGAGACCCUUCUUUUGGACUUUCCUAACCAGCCCCUUUGGACAAAUGUCUAUGUCCGAAAUCUUGCCAGGGCAACUGUACCCUUGCUUUGGAGUCGUGUUCAGGUCCAAGGACAGAUAAGUCUAUUGUGUGGUGGAGUGCUGAGCUUUGGUCUAGCUCAUUAUGCUUCAUCUGAGUUUGAGUUAUUGGCAGAGGAGCUGUUAAUGAGUGACUCUGUAAUCAAGGUAUAUGGGGCUUUACGCAUGACUGUAAAAAUUUUCUUAAUGUGGAAUUCCAAAAUGAUCAUAGAUGGUGGUGAAGAUGCAAGUGUUGCAACUUCUUGGCUUGAGGCUAGUAAUUUAAUUGUUCUCAAGGAAUCAUCUGUCAUACAAUCUAAUGCAAAUCUGGGAGUUCAUGGACAGGGGUUGUUGAAUUUGUCAGGACCUGGUGAUUCAAUCGAAGCUCAACGACUGGUUCUAUCACUAUUUUAUAAUAUUCAUGUUGGACCUGGAUCUGUUUUGCGUGGUCCUCUGAAGAAUGCAACAAAUGAUGCUGUUAGACCAAGGCUCCAUUGUGAACGUGAAGAUUGCCCCCUUGAACUACUUCAUCCUCCUGAAGAUUGCAACGUGAACUCAUCUUUGUCUUUUACCCUUCAGAUUUGCCGAGUGGAGGAUAUCACCGUUGAAGGGCUUAUAAAAGGAUCUGUUGUGCACUUCCAUCGUGCAAGGACUGUAUCUGUUCCGUCUUCUGGAACAAUUAGUGCAUCUGGGAUGGGCUGCACAGGCGGUGUGGGGAGAGGUCAGGUUUUAGAAUAUAGUAUUGGCAGUGGUGGCGGCCAUGGGGGUAAAGGUGGGCGUGGAUGUCACAAUGGUAGCUGUGUUGACGGUGGGAUUGCAUAUGGAAAUGCAGAGUUGCCUUGUGAACUUGGUAGUGGAAGUGGGGAUGAAAAGUCAGCAAAUUCGACUGCAGGCGGUGGCAUCAUAGUAAUGGGCUCAGCGGAACAUCCUUUGUCAAGUUUGUCUGUUGAAGGAUCAGUGAGAGCUGAUGGGGAAAGUUUUGAAGAUAUUGUCAAGCAAGGGGAUUUCACUGUUAUGAAUCACACCAGAGGAGGUCCUGGGGGUGGUUCUGGAGGAACUAUUCUUUUGUUUUUGCAUACACUAGAUCUUGCUGAGUCUGCUGUUGUUUCAAGUGGUGGGGGCUAUGGAAGCCUAAAUGGGAGUGGUGGAGGGGGCGGUGGAAGGAUUCACUUCCACUGGUCAGACAUUCCUACUGGAGAUGUUUACCAGCCCAUUGCUAGUGUAAAAGGAAGCAUCCAAACUAGGGGAGGAAUAGGUAGAGGUGAGGGUCAAGCUGGAGAAAAUGGGACACUGACUGGGAAAGCAUGCCCAAAAGGGCUGUAUGGAGUAUUUUGCCAGGAAUGUCCAGCUGGCACAUAUAAGAAUGUUACUGGAUCUGAUAGAGCUCUUUGCCAUCCUUGCCCUGCCAGUUACCUUCCCCACCGUGCUGUUUAUGUUGCUGUCAGAGGUGGUAUUGCUGAAAUGCCAUGUCCUUACAAAUGCGUCUCAGACAGAUUUCAUAUGCCACAUUGUUACACAGCCCUUGAAGAGUUGAUUUACACAUUUGGUGGGCCAUGGCUAUUUUGUCUGCUUCUCCUGGCUCUUCUCAUCCUCUUAGCCCUGGUGCUUAGUGUUGCCCGGAUGAAAUUUAUUGGAGUUGAUGAAUUGCCAGGCCCAGCUCCCACUCAGCAUGGCUCUCAAAUCGAUCACUCUUUCCCAUUCCUCGAAUCUUUAAAUGAGGUUUUGGAAACAAAUAGAGCUGAGGAGUCUCAAAGUCAUGUGCACAGAAUGUAUUUUAUGGGUCCAAAUACUUUUAGUCAACCUUGGCAUCUUCCACAUACUCCACCUGAGCAAAUAAAAGAGAUAGUAUAUGAGGGUGCAUACAAUACAUUUGUAGAUGAGAUCAAUGCUUUAACUGCUUAUCAAUGGUGGGAGGGUGCCAUGUACAGCAUUCUUUCUGUUCUGUCAUAUCCCCUAGCAUGGUCAUGGCAGCAAUGGCGCCGGCGAAUCAAAUUGCAAAGAUUGCGCGAGUUUGUUCGAUCAGAAUAUGAUCAUGCUUGCUUACGCUCUUGUCGUUCACGGGCACUUUAUGAAGGACUCAAGGUAGCUGCAACUCCUGACUUAAUGCUUGCAUAUCUCGACUUCUUCCUUGGUGGGGACGAAAAGAGAACAGAUCUUCCUCCUCGCUUACAUCAAAGGUUUCCAAUGUCUAUAAUAUUUGGAGGUGAUGGAAGUUACAUGGCUCCUUUCUCAAUUCAAAGUGAUAAUAUUCUUACUAGCCUUAUGGGCCAGAUGGUCCCUCCUACCACUUGGUAUCGUAUGGUAGCCGGUUUGAAUGCACAGCUGCGCCUAGUUCGCCGUGGGCGGUUACGUGUAACAUUUCGGUCUGUCAUUAGAUGGCUUGAAACUCAUGGUAAUCCUGCUUUGAGAAUCCAUGGGAUAAGGGUUGAUCUUGCAUGGUUUCAGGCCACAGCUUCUGGUUAUUGCCAAUAUGGACUUUUGGUUUACAGCACCGAAGAAGAAACUAUUGAAAGUACUGAUGGUGCCAAACAAAAUGACGAACGCAGUUUGAAGAUUGCUUACAGAGGAAAUCCAUCUGGUCGUUUGGGAGCAGAUGCACUCUCAAGCCAAGCCCCCAGAAGCAGUGAAAAUUAUGUAAGGCGGAAAAAGAGUUAUGGGGCGAGUUUAGAUACUAACAGUUUACAUAUGCUUGAAGAGAAGAGAGAUAUAUUUUGUCUUCUCUCUUUCAUAAUUCAUAAUACUAAACCUGUUGGCCACCAGGAUCUUGUUGGUUUGGUCAUAUCAAUGCUACUACUAGGAGAUUUUAGCUUAGUGUUGCUUACUUUGCUCCAAUUGUAUUCAAUUUCAUUGGUAGAUGUCUUUCUGGUUUUGUUUAUUUUACCUCUCGGUAUUCUUCUGCCAUUUCCUGCUGGAAUCAAUGCUUUAUUUAGUCAUGGGCCAAGACGUUCUGCUGGCCUUGCUCGUAUCUACGCAUUGUGGAAUAUUACGUCCUUGAUUAAUGUUAUUGUUGCAUUUAUUUGUGGAUAUAUUCAUUAUCACAAUCAAUCUUCCUCGAGUAAAAAGUUCCCGUUUCAGCCAUGGAGUAUUAGCAUGGACGAAAGCGAAUGGUGGAUGUUUCCAGCUGGACUGGUUCUGUGUAAGAUUUUACAAUCGCAACUUGUUAAUUGGCAUGUUGCAAAUUUGGAGAUUCAAGACCGAUCACUGUACAGUAAUGAUUUUGAUCUCUUCUGGCAGUCAUGAUAAAAUGUCAAAGGCAUUCCACAUUGAGGAGCUUCUUCUUUUGUUCUUGUUUUGUAUGUUUUUUCGGAGUACUAGAGAAAUGGUUGACAUAGAAGUAGAAAUAGGAAUUAGGGGCAAAAAAAAAAAAAAAAAAAAAGAAAAAGAAAAAAGGAAGAAAGAUAAAAUAGAGUGAGAGCAUUCAUUUCUUUUGAACAAUGUGCAGUCAGGAUUUUUUAACUCCUGUAUUCCUUUUGCCGUAUAAUGCCAAUGUAAAUAUCAAGGGGGUUAACACCCAAUCGAAAUAGAGAUCCAUUCCAGUUUGAGCA
Non-coding RNA from Jatropha curcas, 4889 nucleotides. Lineage: Eukaryota; Viridiplantae; Streptophyta; Magnoliopsida; Malpighiales; Euphorbiaceae. The record is from RefSeq and is a predicted model, not a curated record.